RNAcentral lists this ribosomal RNA (200 nucleotides) under uncultured bacterium. RNAcentral's name for it is "partial 16S ribosomal RNA". It matches the Rfam family "Bacterial small subunit ribosomal RNA", at positions 8 to 201 of the family's 1533-position model. The record is from RNAcentral.
AGAGUUUGAUCCUGGCUCAGGAUGAACGCUAGCGGCAGGCCUAAUACAUGCAAGUCGAGGGGCAGCGCAGUGUAGCAAUACAUGGGCGGCGACCGGCAAACGGGUGCGGAACACGUACGCAACCUUCCUUCAAGCGGGGAAUAGCCCAGAGAAAUUUGGAUUAAUACCCCAUAAGAAUGUGGUGAGGCAUCUCACAGCAU